GAAACCGUUUCCACCCAUCCCACAAAUCUCUCCCAUAUCCUUAACCCCCUUUCCACUAUAUUAAAUCCUAUAUCAGUUUUUCCCUUCCCUCACCCAUCUGCAGUCAAUCUGUCUUCGUCAACUUCUAUUCAAGUAAUCAAAAUUCUCCAGCUUCAAGAAUCUGCCUUUCAGCCUGGUGAACAUCACAAUCAAAAUUCAAUUCACAGAGGUAUAUUUCCCAUCCAAAUUUUUAAAACGUGAAGCAUUGCAUUCUGCUCCAUACACAUCAUUAUACUUCACUCCCCACAUAAUUCAAUCCACAAGCAUCACCGAUCAAAUCGCACAAUCAAAACCAAUCGAACCUUUUAAGAAUCAAAAUCAAACUAAGAACGAAAAGAAACAUACCUUGAAUAAGAACCGAUCUCUUCAGUUGAAAUCGGGGUUAAUCGGGGGCUGACCAGAGGCAGUACCUCCCGGCAGCGACGGCGGCGUCGGGUGCAGCGGCUGGAGACAACUCACGGCGACGGCGCAGCGGCGCGGACGGCAGCAGCAGCUCCUCCCGGCGACAGCAGCCUCUCCCCGACGAGCAGUAGCAGCAGCGGCGUCCGGCGUCGUGAGGCGAACGGAAGAAGCCGACGGGAGAUUGGGAGAAAUUCCAGUCGGCGAGAGAGAAGAGAAAAGAAGAAGAGAGAGGAGAGAGAGAGAGAGAGAGAGUCAGACGUGGGUGGGGGGAGUACACUUGAUUUUGGGCUUUUGUUAUUAAUUGGGAUUGGCCUCAUUAAUUAGAAUUGGAUGUUUGGGCUCCAUUUAAUUGUUGCAAAGCUAUUUUAUUUACCUUUUGGUAUUUUGAUAAAUGACAACUAUUGGAUAAAAAAAGGCAGCUAAUUGUCUAACCAAAUGCAAACUUCUUGAAAAAGAUUUGAAACACUUUUAAAUAGAUGGACUGCAUCUUGUGGACUAAUUUUGUGAUUGCAGUAUUAGGUUUUAUAGUUUAUAGUUUAAAGUUUAAAGUUUAAAUUAUAAAAGUAUAAUUUUAUACUAUUUGAUAUAUUUUUAUUUAAUAAAAUAUACACUUCUUGAUUAUGAUUGUUUUCUUGGAAUAUAUUUCUUAUGAUACAAUAAUACUCCAUUUUAAUACUAAUUUUUGUUUUGCAUACAAGAAUAUUUAGUUAUGAGUUAAGAAAUUAAAUAAUGGUUGUUUCAAGUGGAUAUGCUUGCAUGUUGGAUUAAUUGAGUCGUCUAAUAUAAACUACUAUAUAUAUUAUGGGUUAUAAAAACAAUAAACUAAAAAAAUAAAGAAGAAAGAAAGAAGACGAUGGGUUACAAUUCACACUUGAUAUAACUAACUUCGUUCCUCCAAUAUUACGCAAUCCAACAAUAUCACCUAAUACACAUUUAUUGGAAGGAACAAAAUACAUCGUAAAUUAAUAUUUUGUAUGCAAUUUUAAAAAAAUAUGCGUUAAUACUUUAUGAAGUACUAAAAUUGAAUAAUCUACAUGUAAAUCAAGAAAAAUGCUAACAUGUUAUAAAGUGCUUACAAAAAGUGAUUAUUUUAUCAAUAUAAUCUUUUACAAAUAUUGUUAAAUCAUCAUCCUUUUAUUUUAAAAAUAUAAAGAAAGAAUUACACAGUUAGCUUUCAAUAUUGGUUCUCCUUUGAUUUCUUUAUUUUGUUGUUAUUUAUCUUUUUUAUUAUUGUAUUUUUCUUAAAUAUGAGAUUUUAUGAUUUAGAAUUUAAUUAAUAGUACAAACUUUUAUACAAUUGAUAAUUUUUUAAUUUGGUGUUGGGCUUUAUAUGUAUGGUUUACUAAAAGUAAGGUCAUAAUCUGAUUUCUAAUUUAUUCGAUUUUAUUUAAUAUCUAUCAUAAAAAUCAACAUAUUUUUAGUUUUAUAUAUUAUUAAUUUAUUUAAUAUUUUAUAUUUCUAUUUAGUAUAUUAAAAUUAUUUAAAAUUUAUAUAUUUAUAUAUAUAUAUAUAGAUAGGGUAGUGUUAAUCUCCUUUUCCUCCCUUAGAUUUAAGUUCCUUCUUAAUGUGGGUCGUUGGAUUUGGUGGAUGGAGGGACAGGAUGAAAUCCCAUUUUUUAAUCCCGUGUUGCAUUAUAUGGUGGAUUUUGUGCAUUAUAUGGUGGAUUGUGUGCAUUAUAAGGGUAAACUAGCAAAACAACCAAAUUGAAAACCGCCCAAAACGGAAGGAGCGAAUUUUCAGCGAGAUUUUGAUACAACCUUCCAUCUACUCACUCUCUCUCACACUCCAAACGUCUAUCCCUCUCUCUACGUCUCUGCAAUUCGUCUUCCCAUUUUCCACCACUCUUCAAACCCUAGCCGCCACUGUUUUUCGUCGGGUAUCUCCAGAAAGUGAUCGUUUUCGUCGGUUUCACUCUCCAACUCUCACUCCGGUAGCGCGCGAACAAAUUGUUGAAGCCGUCGACAAGGAAUCCCACCGGAUCAGAAGCAAUUGAUUUUCGCCAAAAAGCAGCUUGAAGAUGGCCUAACAAUUGCUGAUUACAACAUACAGAAAGAGUCGACUCUGCAUUUGGUAUUGAGGCUUAGGGGAGGUAUCAUUGAGCCUUCGCUUAUGGCAUUGGCUAGGAUCUACAUCAAGUAGUCUUCGUUGGCGCAUUCGUCGACAAAUUUUGUAAAUGGGUGGAAUGGUGAAUGUAAAAUUCUUGUGUGCAUUAUUUGAUUGUUUGGGUACAUUAUUAAUUAAUGAUUACACAUUAUUUAUCAUGUAUUAUCCAUUAUUUGACUGCUUGUGUAUAUGAGUGAUUGGGUGAAUGCAAUAUUCAUGUGCGCAUUAUUUGAUUGAAUAUGUGCAUUAUUGUAGGGAAUAGUGUGCAUUAUUCAUUUGUGUAUUAUUUGCUAUCAUUAGUAGAUUAUUGUAGGUAGUUGUGUACAAAUAUUUUUUUUGUUUAAUUUUCAGUUGUGCAUUAUUUCCUGCCAUAUGUACAUUGUUGUAGGGAGUGGUGUACAUUAUGUUUUUUGUAUAUGCAUCGGUUUUAUACAACGUCAGUGGUUGAGAUAAUGUAAUAUUCAUUGGUGCAUUAUUUGUUUCCUUUUGAACAUUAUACAGUUAAUAUUGUGCAUUAUAUAAUAUACAUGCAAUACAUUAUUGAUUUUUGGACAGCAGUGAAGCAGCCGAGGGUGGACAUUGACGAAGCGGUGUAUGGAGCAAGUUUAAUUUAGUCCCCAAGGGUUUAGCAAUCCCGUGGGCUAGGGUGUACUAUGGAGUAAGUAACACAACCGUCGGCAAAGUCCACGAGUUCCAGUCAUACCUCUAGGGUUUAGAUAUCAUCAACGUUAGGGAGUAGUUUUAACUAAUAGACAUUAUGUAAAAAUAUUUCCGUGUAAUGUAUUUUAUUGACCCAGUAAUGGACGAUAUGUGUCCUGUAAUGGAUAUGUUUCAGAGACGUUUUUGUUCU
Long non-coding RNA from Salvia splendens (bonfire salvia), 3394 nucleotides. RefSeq lists it as uncharacterized. The record is from RefSeq and is a predicted model, not a curated record. The transcript is spliced from 4 exons. Lineage: Eukaryota; Viridiplantae; Streptophyta; Magnoliopsida; Lamiales; Lamiaceae.